AAUCAACGCUGGCGGCGUGCCUCAGACAUGCAAGUCGAACGAUUAAGACUUCCUUCGGGAAGUGUAUAAAGUGGCGCACGGGUGAGUAACACGUAAGUAAUCUGCCUUCGAGUGGGGAAU
RNAcentral lists this ribosomal RNA (120 nucleotides) under uncultured bacterium. RNAcentral describes it as "partial 16S ribosomal RNA". It matches the Rfam family "Bacterial small subunit ribosomal RNA", at positions 32 to 144 of the family's 1533-position model. The record is from RNAcentral.